GAUUGCUCUGCUUUCAAAGGGUAGAAUUAUCAAUCCCAGUAUGGCAUUUUCUAAUCCUAAAGUGAUUUAGACUUAAUCUUAGUUUUCCAGCUGCUUCUGAAGAAUGUAAUACACUACCUUGUAAAGGUGUGUAAAAAAGAUACCCAGCAGUAGUAUUUAAAACAUUUAUUUGAACAGAACAACUCCAGUUUUACUUUGUACUUUUAAAAAUGUAAUCAAAGAAGAAUGUCUGGAAUUCAAAGGAAUAUCAGAAUAUGAUUUUUUCCUCUCUUUCCUUUUUCAGUCACCAGGCUCAAAUUCACGCACAGGGGCACGUGAUAAUGUCAUACCCUGAAAUGACCUAAUAAAAUACCAAAUAUCUGAGUUUGUAAAGCAGCUUCUAUUGACAGCUCUGCCAGCAUUAGAGAGAUCCACAUCUUCAAGUUUUCAGAUUCUGUAGGACACUUUAUGGCUGAAACUGAGGUAGGAGAGCAACACAAAAUGUUAGCAUUUUGUAUGCUGUCUUCUCUGGAAUUCAGAAUUUGCAGAGGAUUUAUGAGCCUUUCCUCAGUGUGAUUGUGCAAUGGAAGUACAGAAGCUGCUGCAGGAGAACAAGAAUUUUCCUCGCUUUGUGCGUCUACUCAUAUCUUUUGCUCUCACUCAUGGUCAAGGAUUUUUUUAGCUGCUAAAGCUUUUCCCGCCCCCUUAGAGGGCAGAAGGAACACAAUGGCAGUGUCAUCUGAUCACCUGUAAUAUGAGCUUUUCUCAUCUGUGUCUCAUCUGAUCUCCUGUUAGGUCAGAUUUUCCCAAAGGCACAAAAUUUUCCAUAAACCAGAGGAUACAAACUUCAGUUCUGGGAGGACCGUAGAACGCCUGGAAAAUGGAAAAGAAGGAAGGGUAGGAAUUGUUUUAAAUGAUAUUUUUGGUUAUACUCAUUAUCAAAAUACUUAUUCUUUCACUUUCUUUUAUAUGUUUGUUGUAGUAGGCGUGUUAUGGGGCAUUCGGGUUGUAACGCGGAAGACCCUUCCCCAUAUGCUUGCUAUUGGUUCACCUCCUUUACUUGAACCCGUGUUGUAAGAAGGAGAGGCUGUCCUUCUUUGUUUUCAUAACAAAGGGCACAACAACUCCGUAUAUGGCCUUUUGGAAGUAAGAGGUCAGAAGCGGGAUAUUCAAUAUGAUUGGCCAGGAGCCUGCAUGAGCUUCUGGAACAGUCUAGUAAAAAGAUAAGAAAUACUAUAUAGUUUUGUAGCUUUUAACAAUAAACGCCAUUUUGCUGCUCA
This 1259-nucleotide long non-coding RNA is filed under the name Numida meleagris (helmeted guineafowl). RNAcentral describes it as "lncRNA (ENSNMEG00000010079.1)". Lineage: Eukaryota; Metazoa; Chordata; Aves; Galliformes; Numididae. The record is from RNAcentral.